Molecule: non-coding RNA, 377 nt
Organism: Peromyscus maniculatus bairdii (prairie deer mouse)
Lineage: Eukaryota; Metazoa; Chordata; Mammalia; Rodentia; Cricetidae
Source: RefSeq, a predicted model, not a curated record
CCUUCUUCUCCUUGCCCGGGCUCCCGUCAUAAAGGAGGGGACGGCGGGCCAGGGAGGACCUAGCUCGUUACUGAGUCAAAGGCGGCACUGGUGUCACAGUAGCUAGACCAGACGAGGCAGCACUACUUGACACACAGGAGGGAAUGUGAUGCCCAUGCAUAAAGAUGUGCUCCUGAACGUUUCCGGCCUGGUCUUCAAGUAGCCCCAGGGCAUUGGCACUUUCAGGCCUUCUGUGAAUUAAUUCUUCACCUGUUUCCCCUUCUCUCUCCAGUCCAGAUCAAGGUCACCUUGAGAGAGGGGGCUUCUGUGACCUGUGGGAGUGGGCUUCCUGUUUCCAUUACGAUGCUUAUUUGCUAAACAGCAUUUUGGACAAUUUA